Molecule: non-coding RNA, 29 nt
Filed under: Rattus norvegicus (Norway rat)
Lineage: Eukaryota; Metazoa; Chordata; Mammalia; Rodentia; Muridae
Source: RNAcentral
UAGUUUCAGCCUCCAGUCCUUGCUGCCAA